This 93-nucleotide transfer RNA is filed under the name Tissierellia bacterium. RNAcentral's name for it is "tRNA-Ser". It matches the Rfam family "tRNA". Rfam says of the family: Transfer RNA (tRNA) molecules are approximately 80 nucleotides in length. Lineage: Bacteria; Bacillati; Bacillota; Tissierellia. The record is from RNAcentral.
GGAGAUGUACUCAAGAGGCUGAAGAGGCUCCCCUGCUAAGGGAGUAGGUCCCGUCAAAGGGGCGCGAGGGUUCAAAUCCCUCCAUCUCCGCCA